AGAUUACUUCUUUGAAUUUGUCUGCUGCUUAAUUUUCUCUCUUGAAUUGAGUUCUUAUUGCCUUAGCUCAUGAAAGCAAUGAUGAAAUCUAUUUGGGCAUAUCAGUGGUCGUGCAUAAACGAAGAUUGAUUAGCAAUUUGACCCAGAUAAUAAUUUUCUUGCAAGAGAAAAAUAAGUUGAAGCUGAUAAUUUAUUUUAGGGUUUUAGUCUCGAGGAUUUGGGAAUUCGAACUUUCUACUCUUUUGGGAUUUCUGAUAGACUGAUACACUUCCCUGAUUGUUUACCUCAUUGGAGUAUGACUCUGCCUGUUAUUUU
Molecule: unclassified non-coding RNA, 315 nt
Filed under: Hevea brasiliensis (rubber tree)
Lineage: Eukaryota; Viridiplantae; Streptophyta; Magnoliopsida; Malpighiales; Euphorbiaceae
Source: RNAcentral